GCCUCUGGGGCGCAGCCUGAUGCAGCACGCCGCGUGAGCGAUGAAGGCCUUCGGGUCGUAAAGCUCUGUCCUCAAGGAAGAUAAUGACGGUACUUGAGGAGGAAGCCCCGGCUAACUACGUGCCAGCAGCCGCGGUAAUACUACGUGCCAGCAGCCGCGGUAAUUUUAU
This 169-nucleotide ribosomal RNA is filed under the name uncultured bacterium. Its description in RNAcentral is "partial 16S ribosomal RNA". The stretch from base 1 to 152 matches the Rfam family "Bacterial small subunit ribosomal RNA", at positions 366 to 539 of the family's 1533-position model. The record is from RNAcentral.